CUACAUGAAGCUGGAAUCGCUAGUAAUCGCAAAUCAGAAUGUUGCGGUGAAUACGUUCCCGGGUCUUGUACACACCGCCCGUCACACCAUGGGAGUCGGAUAUGCCCGAAGCCAGUGACCUAACCGCAAGGAAGGAGCUGUCGAAGGUGGAGCCGAUAACUGGGGUGAAGUCGUAACAAGGUACC
This 185-nucleotide ribosomal RNA is filed under the name uncultured bacterium. RNAcentral's name for it is "partial 16S ribosomal RNA". It matches the Rfam family "Bacterial small subunit ribosomal RNA", at positions 1316 to 1500 of the family's 1533-position model. The record is from RNAcentral.